This 2902-nucleotide ribosomal RNA is filed under the name Shigella sonnei. RNAcentral describes it as "bacterial LSU rRNA". It matches the Rfam family "Bacterial large subunit ribosomal RNA". The record is from RNAcentral. Lineage: Bacteria; Pseudomonadati; Pseudomonadota; Gammaproteobacteria; Enterobacterales; Enterobacteriaceae.
UUAAGCGACUAAGCGUACACGGUGGAUGCCCUGGCAGUCAGAGGCGAUGAAGGACGUGCUAAUCUGCGAUAAGCGUCGGUAAGGUGAUAUGAACCGUUAUAACCGGCGAUUUCCGAAUGGGGAAACCCAGUGUGUUUCGACACACUAUCAUUAACUGAAUCCAUAGGUUAAUGAGGCGAACCGGGGGAACUGAAACAUCUAAGUACCCCGAGGAAAAGAAAUCAACCGAGAUUCCCCCAGUAGCGGCGAGCGAACGGGGAGGAGCCCAGAGCCUGAAUCAGUGUGUGUGUUAGUGGAAGCGUCUGGAAAGGCGCGCGAUACAGGGUGACAGCCCCGUACACAAAAAUNCACAUAUUGUGAGCUCGAUGAGUAGGGCGGGACACGUGGUAUCCUGUCUGAAUAUGGGGGGACCAUCCUCCAAGGCUAAAUACUCCUGACUGACCGAUAGUGAACCAGUACCGUGAGGGAAAGGCGAAAAGAACCCCGGCGAGGGGAGUGAAAAAGAACCUGAAACCGUGUACGUACAAGCAGUGGGAGCACGCUUAGGCGUGUGACUGCGUACCUUUUGUAUAAUGGGUCAGCGACUUAUAUUCUGUAGCAAGGUUAACCGAAUAGGGGAGCCGAAGGGAAACCGAGUCUUAACUGGGCGUUAAGUUGCAGGGUAUAGACCCGAAACCCGGUGAUCUAGCCAUGGGCAGGUUGAAGGUUGGGUAACACUAACUGGAGGACCGAACCGACUAAUGUUGAAAAAUUAGCGGAUGACUUGUGGCUGGGGGUGAAAGGCCAAUCAAACCGGGAGAUAGCUGGUUCUCCCCGAAAGCUAUUUAGGUAGCGCCUCGUGAAUUCAUCUCCGGGGGUAGAGCACUGUUUCGGCAAGGGGGUCAUCCCGACUUACCAACCCGAUGCAAACUGCGAAUACCGGAGAAUGUUAUCACGGGAGACACACGGCGGGUGCUAACGUCCGUCGUGAAGAGGGAAACAACCCAGACCGCCAGCUAAGGUCCCAAAGUCAUGGUUAAGUGGGAAACGAUGUGGGAAGGCCCAGACAGCCAGGAUGUUGGCUUAGAAGCAGCCAUCAUUUAAAGAAAGCGUAAUAGCUCACUGGUCGAGUCGGCCUGCGCGGAAGAUGUAACGGGGCUAAACCAUGCACCGAAGCUGCGGCAGCGANGCUUAUGCGUUGUUGGGUAGGGGAGCGUUCUGUAAGCCUGCGAAGGUGUGCUGUGAGGCAUGCUGGAGGUAUCAGAAGUGCGAAUGCUGACAUAAGUAACGAUAAAGCGGGUGAAAAGCCCGCUCGCCGGAAGACCAAGGGUUCCUGUCCAACGUUAAUCGGGGCAGGGUGAGUCGACCCCUAAGGCGAGGCCGAAAGGCGUAGUCGAUGGGAAACAGGUUAAUAUUCCUGUACUUGGUGUUACUGCGAAGGGGGGACGGAGAAGGCUAUGUUGGCCGGGCGACGGUUGUCCCGGUUUAAGCGUGUAGGCUGGUUUUCUAGGCAAAUCCGGAAAAUCAAGGCUGAGGCGUGAUGACGAGGCACUACGGUGCUGAAGCAACAAAUGCCCUGCUUCCAGGAAAAGCCUCUAAGCAUCAGGUAACAUCAAAUCGUACCCCAAACCGACACAGGUGGUCAGGUAGAGAAUACCAAGGCGCUUGAGAGAACUCGGGUGAAGGAACUAGGCAAAAUGGUGCCGUAACUUCGGGAGAAGGCACGCUGAUAUGUAGGUGAAGUCCCUCGCGGAUGGAGCUGAAAUCAGUCGAAGAUACCAGCUGGCUGCAACUGUUUAUUAAAAACACAGCACUGUGCAAACACGAAAGUGGACGUAUACGGUGUGACGCCUGCCCGGUGCCGGAAGGUUAAUUGAUGGGGUCAGCGCAAGCGAAGCUCUUGAUCGAAGCCCCGGUAAACGGCGGCCGUAACUAUAACGGUCCUAAGGUAGCGAAAUUCCUUGUCGGGUAAGUUCCGACCUGCACGAAUGGCGUAAUGAUGGCCAGGCUGUCUCCACCCGAGACUCAGUGAAAUUGAACUCGCUGUGAAGAUGCAGUGUACCCGCGGCAAGACGGAAAGACCCCGUGAACCUUUACUAUAGCUUGACACUGAACAUUGAGCCUUGAUGUGUAGGAUAGGUGGGAGGCUUUGAAGUGUGGACGCCAGUCUGCAUGGAGCCGGCCUUGAAAUACCACCCUUUAAUGUUUGAUGUUCUAACGUGGACCCGUGAUCCGGGUUGCGGACAGUGUCUGGUGGGUAGUUUGACUGGGGCGGUCUCCUCCUAAAGAGUAACGGAGGAGCACGAAGGUUGGCUAAUCCUGGUCGGACAUCAGGAGGUUAGUGCAAUGGCAUAAGCCAGCUUGACUGCGAGCGUGACGGCGCGAGCAGGUGCGAAAGCAGGUCAUAGUGAUCCGGUGGUUCUGAAUGGAAGGGCCAUCGCUCAACGGAUAAAAGGUACUCCGGGGAUAACAGGCUGAUACCGCCCAAGAGUUCAUAUCGACGGCGGUGUUUGGCACCUCGAUGUCGGCUCAUCACAUCCUGGGGCUGAAGUAGGUCCCAAGGGUAUGGCUGUUCGCCAUUUAAAGUGGUACGCGAGCUGGGUUUAGAACGUCGUGAGACAGUUCGGUCCCUAUCUGCCGUGGGCGCUGGAGAACUGAGGGGGGCUGCUCCUAGUACGAGAGGACCGGAGUGGACGCAUCACUGGUGUUCGGGUUGUCAUGCCAAUGGCACUGCCCGGUAGCUAAAUGCGGAAGAGAUAAGUGCUGAAAGCAUCUAAGCACGAAACUUGCCCCGAGAUGAGUUCUCCCUGACCCUUUAAGGGUCCUGAAGGAACGUUGAAGACGACGACGUUGAUAGGCCGGGUGUGUAAGCGCAGCGAUGCGUUGAGCUAACCGGUACUAAUGAACCGUGAGGCUUAACCUU